This 468-nucleotide ribosomal RNA is filed under the name uncultured bacterium. RNAcentral describes it as "partial 16S ribosomal RNA". It matches the Rfam family "Bacterial small subunit ribosomal RNA", at positions 28 to 507 of the family's 1533-position model. The record is from RNAcentral.
GACGAACGCUGGCGGCGUGCUUAACACAUGCAAGUCGAACGGCAAGGCCCUGCUUUUGUGGGGUGCUCGAGUGGCGAACGGGUGAGUAACACGUGAGUAACCUGCCCUUGACUUUGGGAUAACUUCAGGAAACUGGGGCUAAUACCGGAUAGGAGCUCAUGCUGCAUGGUGGGGGUUGGAAAGUUUCGGCGGGUGGGGAUGGACUCGCGGCUUAUCAGCUUGUUGGUGGGGGAGUGGCUUACCAAGGCUUUGACGGGUAGCCGGCCUGAGAGGGUGACCGGCCACAAUGGGACUGAGAUACGGCGCAGACUGCUACGGUAGGCAGCAGGGGGGAAUAUUGCACAAUGGGCGGAAGCCUGAUGCAGCAACGCCGCGUGUGGGAUGACGGCCUUCUGGUUGUAAACCGCUUUCGCCUGUGACGAAGCGGGAGUGACGGUAAUGAGUAAAGAAGCACCGGCUAACUACGUG